GGGGGGGGGCCCAGGGGGGGCCCGCAGCGGCCCCAACGGCUUGAAUGGGGCGGCCGCGGGCUCUGCGCAUGCGCCGCCAGCCCAACGGCCCACGCGGCCCCGCCCCGCUAUUCUUAAAAAGGGGCCGGGGCUACUCUUAAAAGGGCAACGGCGCGGCUUCACGGGGGCCACGGCGCGCCUUAAAAGGGCAACGGCGCUUAUUAAAAGGGCGAGUCCUUUUUCUUAAAAGGGCAAUGCCAUCUCUUAAAAGGGCAAUGCCAUCUCUUAAAAGGGUAACGCCGCGUCUUAAAAGGGUAACUCCCAGUAGUGCAAAGGGUGAGCCCCUCCCUCUCCCACCCAUUUUUUAUUUGUUUUUGUUUUAAGCCUUUAGCACACGGAAAAAGGAGAAGCAGGCACCUUCGUGUGACCUCCGGGUUUUAUUUUGGUUUCGGGGAUGGCCUCUUCUCGCAGAUAACCUUGAUAGGAGCAGAGGGAACGGCCUCGAGGUGUGCCAGGGCAGGUUCAGGUUGUAAAUAAAGAGAUAUUUCUUCCCAAAAAGAGCAGCCGGGCGUUGGGACGGGUUGCCCAGGGAGGUGGUGGGGUCACCGUCCCCGGGGGUGCUCAAGGAGAGCUUGGACGUGGUGCUUGGGGUCAGGGCUCGGUGGUGGUUGGGGAUGGAUGGAGCAGAGGAUCCUGGAGGGCUUCUCCAGCCCCCAUGGGUGGGCUCGGCACCUGCCCCAGGCCACGUUUCCCCCGGCCACACGUCCCCAGUGGUGGCCUUGGGGCUCCCCAGACCCCUACCACGGCUGCUUUUGGGGUCUUCCCUCUCCUGCUGGGGAAACCGAGGCAGAGCGGGGUGGCGGAGCCCCGGGUUUAGGAUCCGCAGCCGCCCGGGAACAAACCCUCUCCCCAGGCUGCCUGUUCCCGAAGAGAGGCUCUUUAUUCGUGAGCUUAAUUAGUGUUUUUUUUUUUCCCCAUGCAUAUGCACGCGCCCGUGGGACCUGGAAAAGCUCCCCUGGAAAACCAGCCGUGCGGGCGGGGUGCAGGAGCAAACCCCACAGCCUGGGGGAACACCUCCCGCUUCCCCGCCUCGGGCCACGGCUUCUGCUGCUCCCCCAAAACGCCCGGGAGAGCCCCGAGCAGGGCUCUUGGCUGGCCUCAGCCUCGUAGGGCCGCUGGGAGGAGGUGGAGGCACGGCUGGGGGGUCACAGUUUGUUUAUUUGGGGGUGUUUUGGGUGGGUGCGUGCACCCCGGUGAGGCUGGCACGCUGCGGGGAUGGGGCAGAGGGGCUGCGGGGUGUGCACAAGGGGGACAGGAAUUGGGGCUGCAUCCUGCUGGCCUCAAGCAUCCCGUUAACCCCGGGGCAUCCCAUUAAAAUUGGGGCAUCCCAUUAACCUCGGGGAAUCCCAUUAAACCCGGGGCAUCCCAUUAGCCUUGGG
RNAcentral lists this long non-coding RNA (1418 nucleotides) under Anas platyrhynchos platyrhynchos (common mallard). RNAcentral describes it as "lncRNA (ENSAPLG00000023065.1)". Lineage: Eukaryota; Metazoa; Chordata; Aves; Anseriformes; Anatidae. The record is from RNAcentral.